AACGCUGGCGGCAUGCCUUACACAUGGCAAGUCGAACGGCAGCACGGGAGCAAUCCUUGGUGGCGAGUGGCGAACGGGUGAGUAAUAUAUCGGAACGUGCCCAGUCGUGGGGGAUAACGCAGCGAAAGUUGUGCUAAUACCGCAUACGAUCUAUGGAUGAAACGGGGGAUCGCAAGACCUCGCGCGAUUGGAGCGGCCGAUAUCAGAUUAGGUUGUUGGUGAGGUAAAAGCUCACCAAGCCUGCGAUCUGUAGCUGGUCUGAGAGGACGACCAGCCACACUGGAACUGAGACACGGUCCAGACUCCUACGGGAGGCAGCAGUGGGGAAUUUUGGACAAUGGAUGCAAGUCUGAUCCAGCAAUGCCGCGUGCAGGACGAAGGCCUUCGGGUCGUAAACUGCUUUUGUACAGAACGAAAAAAGUCUUUAAUAACACUAGAGGCUCAUGACGGUACUGUAAGAAUAAGCACCGGCUAACUACGUG
Molecule: ribosomal RNA, 482 nt
Filed under: uncultured bacterium
Lineage: Bacteria
Description: bacterial SSU rRNA
Rfam family: Bacterial small subunit ribosomal RNA
Source: RNAcentral